Ribosomal RNA from Medicago truncatula (barrel medic), 119 nucleotides. NCBI's taxonomy places the organism in Eukaryota, Viridiplantae, Streptophyta, Magnoliopsida, Fabales, Fabaceae. The record is from Rfam.
AGGUGCGAUCAUACCAGCACUAAUGCACCGGAUCCCAUCAGAACUCAGCAAUUAAGCGUGCUUGGGCGAGAGUAGUACUAGGAUGGGUGGCCUCCUGGGAGGUCCUUUUGUUGCACCUC